Molecule: long non-coding RNA, 519 nt
Organism: Daucus carota subsp. sativus
Lineage: Eukaryota; Viridiplantae; Streptophyta; Magnoliopsida; Apiales; Apiaceae
Exons: 2
Source: RefSeq, a predicted model, not a curated record
UGCGCCUCAAUGUACAAAUCUUGAAAACCUCAGCCGCCCUCACCCCCGUUCCAUGCCUCAUUUUAAGCAAUAAUAUUAAUUUCAUAACCUAGCCAAUCUCAGGAUUGAACGUAAUGAAUACACAUUCUUAGAAUGGUAUGCACACAGAAGUACCAUAAAUAAUGAAGAAGAUGCUCCACAAAAUUAUUUUGCUUUUUUGGAUUUUCUGCAUCGCGGGGAUGAUUAAAUCGAAGGAGGGUGAGCGACCCAUACAUAUCUCUAAACGUCCGAGGUGUAUCUGAUGAUUUUUCGGGCACCGUCAGGAUUGUAAAGUGAGGUUCCUACGUGUGAUGUACUUAGAGUGACCUAUUUGUGCACUUGUUGGUUUUUAUUAGUAUUUGAGGGAAGUGAACACUAGCCAAGGUGCUUGCUAAUUGUAAUGGAGAUGACAAGAUUUUUAAAUAUAUAAUUAAUUGUUUAUCUUCACUCCAAUGGCUAACAUUUCCAGAUUAAAUUUCAUUUUUAGUGUUUAUCACGAUA